This 253-nucleotide ribosomal RNA is filed under the name uncultured bacterium. RNAcentral describes it as "partial 16S ribosomal RNA". It matches the Rfam family "Bacterial small subunit ribosomal RNA", at positions 524 to 776 of the family's 1533-position model. The record is from RNAcentral.
UACGAGGGGGGCGAGCGUUGUUCGGAAUUAUUGGGCGUAAAGGGUGCGUAGGCGGCCUGACAAGUCUGAUGUGAAAUCCCUGGGCUCAACCCAGGGCCUGCAUCGGAAACUGUCGGGCUUGAGUAUGGGAGAGGUGAGUGGAAUUUCCGGUGUAGCGGUGAAAUGCGCAGAUAUCGGGAGGAACACCGGUGGCGAAGGCGGUUCUCUGGGCCUUACCUGACACUGAGGAGCGAAAGCGUGGGGAGCGAACAGG